AAAAAAAAAAAAAAAAAAAAGAGUGCUUCCACAUUAAAUCAAGAAAGACACACACACAAGUGAACUGGAAGAGUAUCACACCCUCUUAGGCCUCAAUGUCCACAACAUCACUGGCCACAGCUUUUAGUUUCAGGAGGUGAGAUAUGAAAACAAACCUAAUGGGCAAAGCAGAUCUAAACAGGGUAAGACCUGGAGCCCCGGCCCCAUGCAGCCUGCAGAAGGUGAGUGAGGUCGGCCUCCCCUCAUUCCACAGUUGCCUCUUUCCAGAGACCCUGGGUGUCUGGAGGGAUAUAGAGUGAUGUGGCCAGGCGCUGUGCCCGGGGAAAUGACAUUAAAAUUAGUAAUAGUAGGGGAAAAAAAAGAAAUACUUUCCUUUACAGACAACAGAAUGCAACUUGAGGCAAACCAUUCUAUACAUACAGUCUCAGAAACGAUUCCAGAUUUCCGACCUGCGUGUUUUGUUUCUUUGUUUGUUUAUGUCAAGACUUUACAAUUUGCCAUGAAUCAAAAACACACAUGAGCUCAGGGGAUAGAAAGAAAUAUUCAGAAAGAGUCUGAGUGGAAUUUGGAUUAGGAUGGGUGUUUUUUGGCUCCGAGUCCUGUGUCCAAGUGACAGCUGCUGUGCCAUAAUAAUAGAUCAGCUUACAAUACGUAGAUAUAGACAGGCAGACAAUAGACAAUCUGUGUAUGAAACAGGCUGCCUAAAAAUGCUGAUUAUCUAAAAGCUUGUGAGCCUAGGUCAUCAAAGCCAUCUCACCAGGUGAGUGUUCACUCUUCCCUCAGCGGGCCCUCCCAGAAGUCAUGUUAAGCAGUUUCUGACGGUAUUCAUAUUUUAAUCCUCAGAAGCCCUGGAGGCUCUCACCUCCCACUUCAGGCUGCCCAAAGUCACAGAGCCUGUGACUCCAGGACUCAUCUUUCUACAAACGCUUUGGUUGGCCAGCGCUUCCUUUUACCGUCAGCCGCCCCUGCCCGGGACACUUGCAGAUCAGGGGACUUUGUGGGUCUCAUUGAGGCUGUAUUUGCGGAUUCAAUUACGCAUUUUUAAUUCCGCAAAUAUUUGCCACUGCUGCCUGACCUGGAGCCUGUGUGGCCAGAUCCUUUGAUCGAAAGCCGUCUGCCUGUGGAUCAGACCCUGUGGUGAGUGGUGACAGCCCAGGGGUGGGGAGGCAGAUCACCCUGCUGGGUUGCUGGGGAAGGCUGUGUGGAGGCCAUAGGGUCUGAGCAAUAUACUAAGACCUAGUUAAAGAUUUGCAGCGAGAGAAUCCAUGAAACAUGAAACACGGAGGCUGUGGGGGGUCGAGUUAGGACUCUGGAUGGCCACAUCCUGACCCCCAGAACAUGCAACCACCGCCUUGUAUGGAAAGGGGGCUUUGCGGAUGUGAUAGGGCUGAGGCUCCUGAGAUGGGUGAUUUUCUUGGAUGAUCCUGGCGGGCCAAUGAAAUCACAGGGUCCUUCUGAGAGGGAGGGAGGACAGCAGAGAGGGGAAGGUGAUGUGGCCACAGAGCCAGAGAUGACGGAAGGGGCUGCCAGCCCAGGGGUCCAGGUACCACCGGAAGAAGGAAAGACAGAGACAUGGGGUCUCCCCAUGCCCAGCCCUGCAGAGACCCUGAAUUCAGCGCAGGGGUACUGAUUUGGGGGUUAUGGCCUCCAGAACUGUGAGAGAAUAAGUCUCCGUUGUCUUAUGCCACCGAGUGUGCGGUACGUGUUAUGGCAGCCACAUAGCAGGUGUGAGGAAGCUGGAGAAGGGACUGAAGAUGGGGUGCAGCUGGGACCACCCUGCUGGGCUAAGGCCAGUUCUGGAAAGAGACUGAACAGCUCUCCCUCAGGAGCAGUGAGGGAGGAACCCGUGAGUCAGUGGAGGGUGGGAGGAAACGUGGGAGGAGCCUCCGACAUCCUAGAAACGCGGGGGUACCAAAGCCAGCACCGGCCUGCGGGGGGAAAGCCGGCCUCUUACGCCCUGGAAGAGGAAACUCACAGAGAUCCCCACAACGACACCCAGCUGUGCAGGAGGCCCACGUCCUGUCUCAUUUCAUUUUCUCCUCUCGGUGAACAAAAAGAGAAGAAAAUGACAGGAGCAGAAGGUCAAAGGGAAGCAUCGAGAGAAAGAGGAUGAAUUGACACCUGUGGCUAAUUGAAGUGAAAUCAGAUCACAGAGGCCAUGAGACCCACGUCCAGAGGGCCCUAGGAGGGAGCUGUGGGCUCAGCUGGUUGAUUUACUCUGGCUUGGGUCGCUGCUACUGCUUUGAGGACAAUAAGCUUGGCCAUCACCAGACACCAGAGGAUGCUGAAGGGACAGCCGGCUAGACUAUUUCAUGGACUCUCUGAGCAUGUCCUAUUGCAGUCCAGAUGUGCCUUUCACCUCCCG
Molecule: long non-coding RNA, 2365 nt
Filed under: Homo sapiens (human)
Lineage: Eukaryota; Metazoa; Chordata; Mammalia; Primates; Hominidae
Description: HSALNT0324745
Source: RNAcentral